UACGAAGGGGGCGAGCGUUGUUCGGAUUUACUGGGCGUAAAGGGCGCGCAGGCGGCUAUCCAAGUCAGGCGUGAAAGCCCCGGGCUUAACCUGGGAGGUGCGUCUGGGACUGGGUGGCUAGAGUUCGGGAGAGGAGAGUGGAAUUCCCAGUGUAGAGGUGAAAUUCGUAGAUAUCUGGAGGAACACCGGUGGCGAAGGCGGCAUCCUGGACCAACACUGACGCUGAGGAGCGAAAGCCAGGGGAGCAAACGGG
RNAcentral lists this ribosomal RNA (253 nucleotides) under uncultured bacterium. RNAcentral's name for it is "partial 16S ribosomal RNA". It matches the Rfam family "Bacterial small subunit ribosomal RNA", at positions 524 to 776 of the family's 1533-position model. The record is from RNAcentral.